ACACGUAGGGGGCGAGCGUUGUCCGGAAUUACUGGGUGUAAAGGGUGCGUAGGCGGCCUUGCAAGUCAGAUGUGAAAGAUCGCGGCUUAACUGUGGUAAGCAUUUGAAACUGUAAGGCUUGAGUGCAGGAGAGGAGAGUGGAAUUCCUAGUGUAGCGGUGAAAUGCGUAGAUAUUAGGAAGAAUAUCAGUGGCGAAGGCGGCUCUCUGGACUGCAACUGACGCUGAGGCACGAAAGCGUGGGGAGCAAACAGGAGUAGAUACCCUGGUACUCCACGCGGGAAACGAUGAGUGCUAGGUGUCGGGGGUCAUACCUCGGUGCCGCAGUUAACGCAUUAAGCACUCCACCUGGGGAGUACGGCCGCAAGGCUGAA
Molecule: ribosomal RNA, 372 nt
Filed under: uncultured bacterium
Lineage: Bacteria
Description: bacterial SSU rRNA
Rfam family: Bacterial small subunit ribosomal RNA
Source: RNAcentral